UGUUGUUGCAGUUAAAAAGCUCGUAGUCGGAUUUCAGUAUUAGGCCCUUCUUCCAAUACGGUUGCUAGUGGUCUUUACUUCCUUAACAGAAUCUUUCAUUUUAUUAAUUUAAAGUGUUUGGGGCCUGUUUCUUUUACUUUGAGAAAAUUAGAGUGUUCAAAGCGGGUUUUCGCCUGGAUAUUACUCUUGGAAUAAUAAUAUAGGACUUUGGUUCUUUUUUGUUGGUGACUUAGAACCGAAGUAAUGAUUGAUAGGGACAGUUGGGGUC
RNAcentral lists this ribosomal RNA (268 nucleotides) under uncultured marine eukaryote. RNAcentral describes it as "partial 18S ribosomal RNA". It matches the Rfam family "Eukaryotic small subunit ribosomal RNA", at positions 609 to 889 of the family's 1831-position model. The record is from RNAcentral.